RNAcentral lists this long non-coding RNA (793 nucleotides) under Triticum aestivum (bread wheat). RNAcentral's name for it is "long non-coding RNA (TAES_LNC002034)". The record is from RNAcentral. Lineage: Eukaryota; Viridiplantae; Streptophyta; Magnoliopsida; Poales; Poaceae.
UAAAACUGUAGGGAGCUCGACGUGCUGCUUUUGCGGACGAUGUGUAUAAGGUAGGAUUGGAAACUUGGUAGCGGUAGGGGGUGGAAGUUCAUCGUUUCCACAUGGUUCGCCAUUGCAGCAGAAUGCUUGGUGACUGUAGGCGGUAGUUGGUUGGUUAACCAUCAUCCAUCUCAAUUCAACUAAUGUUAGGUUUAGCUGGCAGUCUGCCAUCCAUGGAUCUUUAGAUUUUUAGUCGAUGCAUCAGGGGAUGUGGACCGGUGUCGGUUCUGCAACCAUUCGAUGGAUUAGGGACAGUCGAUCCUGUUGGGGUCUUGUCAUUGUCUUGUUGAACAUCUCCUGUUUCAUUCUCAGGUGUGUGAGAGUAGCAUUUCAAGGAUCUUUAUCUCUUGUUAGCUGGGCAUGUACUAUGUGAGAGUUAUGCAGAAGCAAAGACUGUUUGGGAGCCGGUAUGAUGGGUGGCAUCGCUGGCGACUUGGCUGUUAGGCUCAUCAGCUUAGUUAGAUUGUGUUGGUGUUCUUGUUUUCGGAAUUGUGGUGAACGUGAACGGCCAGCUUGCUUGCCUUUGUGGUGAUUUGGAAGAAUUUUUGAAUUCCCAUGAAAAAAAAAGGUUCGAGUUGUUCUUCCUAUGUACUCAGAGAAAUAGAACUAUAUUCUGAGAAUGGCAGUCCAAUCUUUUUUAGUUCAACAGGGUACUUGGAAUGGGCUGAGAGGUUCAGUCUCAUUUAGACUAUAUUCUGAGAAUCUGCUGUAAAUGGUAGUGAAUCUGCCUUUUUUUCUCCCAAAACAUUGACGU